This 491-nucleotide ribosomal RNA is filed under the name uncultured bacterium. RNAcentral's name for it is "partial 16S ribosomal RNA". It matches the Rfam family "Bacterial small subunit ribosomal RNA", at positions 29 to 507 of the family's 1533-position model. The record is from RNAcentral.
AGUGAACGCUGGCGGUAGGCCUAACACAUGCAAGUCGAACGGCAGCACAGUAAGAGCUUGCUCUUACGGGUGGCGAGUGGCGGACGGGUGAGGAAUACAUCGGAAUCUACUUUUUCGCGGGGAUGACGUAGGGAAACUUACGCUAAUACCGCAUACGACCUACGGGUGAAAGCAGGGGAUCUUCGGACCUUGCGCGAUUGAAUGAGCCGAUGUCGGAUUAGCUAGUUGGCGGGGUAAAGGCCCACCAAGGCGACGAACCGUAGCUGGUCUGAGAGGAUGAUCAGCCACACUGGAACUGAGACACGGUCCAGACUCCUACGGGAGGCAGCAGUGGGGAAUAUUGGACAAUGGGCGCAAGCCUGAUCCAGCCAUACCGCGUGGGUGAAGAAGGCCUUCGGGUUGUAAAGCCCUUUUGUUGGGAAAGAAAAGCAGCAGGUUAAUACCCCGCUGUUCUGACGGUACCCAAAGAAUAAGCACCGGCUAACUUCGUG